Molecule: ribosomal RNA, 373 nt
Filed under: uncultured bacterium
Lineage: Bacteria
Description: bacterial SSU rRNA
Rfam family: Bacterial small subunit ribosomal RNA
Source: RNAcentral
UAAUACGUAGGUGGCAAGCGUUGUCCGGAUUUAUUGGGUUUAAAGGGUGCGUAGGCGGCCCUGUAAGUCAGUGCUGAAAUCCCCCGGCUUAACCGGGGUGGUGGCAUUGAUACUGCAGGGCUUGAGUACAGAUGAGGUAGGCGGAAUUGACGGUGUAGCGGUGAAAUGCAUAGAUAUCGUCAAGAACACCGAUAGCGAAGGCAGCUUACUGGGCUGUAACUGACGCUGAUGCACGAAAGUGUGGGGAUCAAACAGGAUUAGAUACCCUGGUAGUCCACACUGUAAACGUUGAUUACUCGCUGUUUGCGAUACACAGCAAGCGGCUUAGCGAAAGCGAUAAGUAAUCCACCUGGGGAGUACGCCGGCAACGGUG